Bradysia coprophila is the source of this 863-nucleotide long non-coding RNA. Lineage: Eukaryota; Metazoa; Arthropoda; Insecta; Diptera; Sciaridae. The record is from RefSeq and is a predicted model, not a curated record.
AAGUUACAGAUGCGCUUGCCGAUUGUCAAAGGUCAGAAACCUUUAAAUUAUUAUGAGUUUAGUGUUGCUAUGAGAGAUGUUUGCCCGCUUAUGCCAGCAAUACAAUACCUUCAACAUUUCAAAGGUUAAAUUGCUUUUGCAUUCGAAUUUGUUGAAGCUAUAACUCACGACAUUUCGAUCGGGAGAAAUUUGCAUGAAUUAAGUGGUUAAACAAAGUGAAGUAAAAGAUUUUGUGACAUGAAGCAACACUUUAUAGAUCAUCUUCAAGGCUGUUUGAAAUGCCAUCCACGUCAAAAGAUCCCAUCCACGUUAACAAAAAUCUCAUAAAAAUGAACGAAACUUAAGUGAGGUUACGUCUGAAAGUACCGUAUCUUGAAAAUGAUCAGUAAACAAUUCGGCAAAAGCCGAUUUGUUCCUUCGUCUAAAAAUGAUUUAUCUUUAUUGAGACUCCAGCAACUGCAUUACUUUUGCAAUAUUUUAUUAAGAACUUCGAGCUAGACCGUCAUCAUCACAUAAAAAUUAAAUUUAUUUUUACGGGUAACGAACUUAUUAUAAGAUUAUGACUCUGUAAAUAGAUAGGCGAUAAGGUGAAAAUUUCGUUAAAACCAACCAUGACAACUAGCUGUAAGGUUACUCUCAGAAAAAUGGGGAAAUUCAGUGACGACAAUAUAAAAUAUGAAAAAUUGAAAAUGUAUCACGAUUAGUCAAAACGAAUUAAAUUUUGAGAAUCUAAGCAGGGACUCACGUAUACAAUAAGUUAAAACAAAAAUAUUUAAUGUUCUAUGCGUCCAUCCAUCAUAGUGAUUCUGAAUCCAGUUUUAUGAUGAAAUACCAACGCACCUACUAGUGCUGGAAAUCAAUUU